GUUGAGCGGAGAUAUAUGGAGCUUGCUUUAUAUAACUUAGCAGCGAACGGGUGAGUAACACGUAGAUAAUCUAUCCUAUACUGGGGGAUAGCCCGAUGAAAGUUGGAUUAAUACCGCAUAUAGCUAUAUAGUUGCAUGAUUAUGUAGUGAAAGAUUUAUUGGUAUAGGAGGAGUCUGCGGCACAUUAGCUAGUAGGUGAGGUAAAGGCUUACCUAGGCGACGAUGUGUAGCCGGUCUGAGAGGAUGAACGGCCACAAUGGAACUGAGACACGGUCCAUACUCCUACGGGAGGCAGCAGUGGGGAAUAUUGCACAAUGGGGGAAACCCUGAUGCAGCAACGCCGCGUGAGUGAAGAAGGUUUUCGGAUUGUAAAGCUCUGUUAGCAGGGAAGAGGAAGGACGGUACCUGCAGAGGAAGCCACGGCUAACCACGUGCCAGCAGCCGCGGUAAUACGUAGGUGGCAAGCGUUGUUCGGAAUAACUGGGCGUAAAGGAUGCGUAGGCGGUUAAACAAGUUAUAUGUUAAAUAUAUAGGCUUAACCUGUAGAAAGCAUAUAAAACUGUUUAACUAGAGUGCAGGAGAGGUAAGUGGAAUUCCUAGUGUAGCGGUGAAAUGCGUAGAGAUUAGGAAGAACACCAGUGGCGAAGGCGACUUACUGGACUGUAACUGACGCUGAGGCAUGAGAGCAUGGGGAGCAAACAGGAUUAGAUACCCUGGUAGUCCAUGCUGUAAACGAUGGGUACUAGGUGUGGGUUGUGAAUAACAAUUCGUGCCGUCGCAAACGCAAU
This 788-nucleotide ribosomal RNA is filed under the name uncultured bacterium. RNAcentral describes it as "bacterial SSU rRNA". It matches the Rfam family "Bacterial small subunit ribosomal RNA", at positions 61 to 861 of the family's 1533-position model. The record is from RNAcentral.